Molecule: long non-coding RNA, 337 nt
Organism: Juglans microcarpa x Juglans regia
Lineage: Eukaryota; Viridiplantae; Streptophyta; Magnoliopsida; Fagales; Juglandaceae
Exons: 2
Source: RefSeq, a predicted model, not a curated record
CUCUCUCUUUCUCUAUGUUGAUUUGGGUCUGUGUUCUUUUGUAGGUUUAGCCAAGCAAGGACUAGCUUCGCCAUUAGCCCAGUGAUCUACAUUCGACGACCCCAAGAUGUGGCUGUUGGAGUUUUGGCAACCCUGCUUCUUGAACUGUCAAUUUCUGGGGCAUGGUUGAUUUGGAGAUCUAGACAAGGAAAUGUGUCAUAUGAACCUGUAGGUGCUGUUGUUGUAACUCAAAUUGUAAUUUUGUGUUUUGUAAUCUAAUGUAUAAAUACCAAACAAUGUAAUAUGUAGUGGAUUGCAUUGUGUUGUAUGCAUUUUACGAGAUGAAUAUUUUAUUUUA